CCUACGGGGAGCAGCAGUGAGGAAUAUUGGUCAAUGGGCGAGAGCCUGAACCAGCCAAGUCGCGUGAAGGAUGACGGCCCUACGGGUUGUAAACUUCUUUUGUCAGGGAGCAAUUGAGUCCACGUGUGGGCUUAGCGAGAGUACCCGGAGAAAAAGCAUCGGCUAACUCCGUGCCAGCAGCCGCGGUAAUACGGAGGAUGCGAGCGUUAUCCGGAUUUAUUGGGUUUAAAGGGUGCGUAGGCGGGAUGCCAAGUCAGCGGUAAAAAUGCGGUGCUCAACGCCGUCGAGCCGUUGAAACUGGCGUUCUUGAGUGGGCGAGAAGUAUGCGGAAUGCGUGGUGUAGCGGCGAAAUGCAUAGAUAUCACGCAGAACUCCGAUUGCGAAGGCAGCAUACCGGCGCCCUACUGACGCUGAGGCACGAAAGCGUGGGUAUCGAACAGGAUUAGAUACCCCAGUAGUC
RNAcentral lists this ribosomal RNA (460 nucleotides) under uncultured bacterium. Its description in RNAcentral is "partial 16S ribosomal RNA". It matches the Rfam family "Bacterial small subunit ribosomal RNA", at positions 338 to 795 of the family's 1533-position model. The record is from RNAcentral.